Molecule: ribosomal RNA, 497 nt
Filed under: uncultured bacterium
Lineage: Bacteria
Description: partial 16S ribosomal RNA
Rfam family: Bacterial small subunit ribosomal RNA
Source: RNAcentral
GAUGAACGCUGGCGGCGUGCCUAAUACAUGCAAGUCGAGCGAACAGAUGAGGAGCUUGCUCCUCGGACGGUAGGGGCGGACGGGUGAGUAACACGUGGAUAACCUACUUAUAAGACUGGGAUAACUACGGGAAGCCGGAGUUAAUACCGGAGGAUAUAUUGAACCGCAUGGUUGAAUGGUGAGAGACGGUUUUGGUGUCGCUGAGGGAUGGAUCCGCGCCGUAUUAGCUAGUUGGUAAGGUGAUGGCUUACCAAGGCAACGAUGCGUAGCCGACCUGAGAGGGUGAUCGGCCACCCUGGAGCUGCGACACGGUCCAGACUCCUACGGCAGGCAGCAGUAGGGAAUCUUCCGCAAUGGGCGGAAGCUUGACGGAGCAACGCCGCGUGAGUGAUGAAGGUCUUCGGAUCGUAAAACUCUGUUAUUAGGGAAGAACAAAUGUGUACGUAACUAUGCACGUCUUGACGGUACCUAAUCAGAAAGCCCCGGCUAACUACGUG